GCUGGCGGCGUGCUUAACACAUGCAAGUCGAACGCGAACGUUUCCUUCGGGGAACUAGUAGAGUGGCGCACGGGCUGAGUAACGCGUAAGUAAUCUACCCUCGCAUUCGGGAUAACCCACCGAAAGGUGUGCUAAUACCGGAUACGUCUCAUUUAAUAUCUUUUGAUGAGAGAAAGGUGGCCUCUUGAAUCAAAGCUACUGUGCGGGGAGGAGCUUGCGUACCAUUAGCUAGUUGGUAGGGUAACGGCCUACCAAGGCGAUGAUGGUUAGCGGGUCUGAGAGGAUGAUCCGCCACACUGGAACUGGAACACGGACCAGACUCCUACGGGAGGCAGCAGUGAGGAAUAUUGCGCAAUGGGGGCAACCCUGACGCAGCGACGCCGCGUGGAUGAUGAAGGCCUUCGGGUUGUAAAAUCCUGUCAGAUGGGAAGAAGUGUGUAUCACCCAAUACGUGAUACAUUUGACGGUACCAUCAAAGGAAGCACCGGCCAACUCCGUGCCAGCAGCCGCGGUAAUACGGAGGGUGCAAGCGUUGUUCGGAAUUACUGGGCGUAAAGCGCGCGUAGGCGGCUAGAUAAGUCAGAUGUGAAAGCCCGCGGCUCAACCGUGGAAGAGCAUU
RNAcentral lists this ribosomal RNA (619 nucleotides) under uncultured Desulfobacterales bacterium. RNAcentral's name for it is "bacterial SSU rRNA". It matches the Rfam family "Bacterial small subunit ribosomal RNA", at positions 35 to 627 of the family's 1533-position model. Lineage: Bacteria; Pseudomonadati; Thermodesulfobacteriota; Desulfobacteria; Desulfobacterales. The record is from RNAcentral.